This 391-nucleotide ribosomal RNA is filed under the name uncultured bacterium. Its description in RNAcentral is "bacterial SSU rRNA". It matches the Rfam family "Bacterial small subunit ribosomal RNA", at positions 30 to 418 of the family's 1533-position model. The record is from RNAcentral.
AUUGAACGCUGGCGGCAUGCUUUACACAUGCAAGUCGAACGGCAGCACGGGUGCUUGCACCUGGUGGCGAGUGGCGGACGGGUGAGUAAUACAUCGGAACGUGUCCAGAAGAGGGGGAUAACGCAUCGAAAGAUAUGCUAAUACCGCAUAUGCUCUGAGGAGGAAAGUGGGGGAUCGAAAGACCUUACGCUUUUGGAGCGGCCGAUGUCUGAUUAGCUAGUUGGUGGGGUAAGGGCCUACCAAGGCGACGAUCAGUAGUUGGUCUGAGAGGACGACCAGCCACACUGGGACUGAGACACGGCCCAGACUCCUACGGGAGGCAGCAGUGGGGGAAUUUUGGACAAUGGGCGCAAGCCUGAUCCAGCAAUGCCGCGUGCGGGACGAAGGCCUC